AUGAUACUCCCUCCGUCCGGAAAUACUUGUCAUCAAAAUGGACAAAAGUGGAUGUAUCUAGAACUAAAAUACAUCUAGAUACAUCCCCUUUUAUUCAUUUUGAUGACAAGUAUUUCCGGACGGAGGGAGUAUAUG
This is a non-coding RNA of Triticum aestivum (bread wheat), 135 nucleotides long. The record is from Rfam. Lineage: Eukaryota; Viridiplantae; Streptophyta; Magnoliopsida; Poales; Poaceae.